This is a non-coding RNA of Triticum aestivum (bread wheat), 115 nucleotides long. The record is from Rfam. Lineage: Eukaryota; Viridiplantae; Streptophyta; Magnoliopsida; Poales; Poaceae.
AUUGUACUCCCUUCGUUCGGAAUUACUCGUCCAAGAAAUAAAUGUAUCUAGAUGUAUUUUAGUUAUAGAUACAUCCACUUUUGUGACAAGUAAUUCCGAACGGAAGGAGUAGACA